Molecule: ribosomal RNA, 442 nt
Filed under: uncultured bacterium
Lineage: Bacteria
Description: partial 16S ribosomal RNA
Rfam family: Bacterial small subunit ribosomal RNA
Source: RNAcentral
CCUACGGGAGGCAGCAGUAGGGAAUCUUUCACAAUGGGCGAAAGCCUGAUGGAGCAACGCCGCGUGCAGGAUGAAGGCCUUCGGGUUGUAAACUGUUUUUAUAAGCGAGAAAUAUGAUGGUAACUUAUGAAUAAGGAUCGGCUAACUACGGGCCAGCAGCCGCGGUCAUACGUAGGAUCCGAGCAUUAUCCGGAGUGACUGGGUGUAAAGAGUUGCGUAGGUGGCAUAAUAAGUAGCUAGUGAAAUCUGGUGGCUCAACCAUUCAGACUAUUAGCUAAACUGUUAAGCUCGAGACCGUUAGGGGUAACUGGAAUUUCUAGUGUAGGAGUGAAAUCCUUAGAUAUUAGAAGGAACACCAAUAGCGUAGGCAGGUUGCUGGGACGGUUCUGACACUAAGGCACGAAAGCGUAGGGAGCAAACGGGAUUAGAUACCCCAGUAGUC